Long non-coding RNA from Acyrthosiphon pisum (pea aphid), 1377 nucleotides. RefSeq lists it as uncharacterized. NCBI's taxonomy places the organism in Eukaryota, Metazoa, Arthropoda, Insecta, Hemiptera, Aphididae. The transcript has 3 exons. The record is from RefSeq and is a predicted model, not a curated record.
UUACUACUUCAGAACUUAAUUUUAUUGUAAUACAAUACAUACAACUAAUUAACUACUAUAGGUAUUCAUUCAGGCGCGUAUACAGGGGGUUGGGGGUUCAACCCCCCCAAAAUCUACUAUGAACCCCCCAAAUUUUUUUUUGUGUACGCGCCUGUAUUCAUUUAAAUGAACUUUUUUUAUGUGAAUUAUUUCUUUUUAUAAUUUCAGACUGAAGCUUCCAGUAGUGGCAGUAGUAGUACAGAGAAAUCGCCAGAAGAAAUAACACAAAAUAAUGUAUCAGAAAUAUUGAAACUCCUAAAAACUACAAAUGAAGGGAAAUCGUUAUUGUCAACAUUUCAUCAAAGUGGUUUGUUAGAUAGUGCAGGUCGUAGGCGUUUGUGUCAUUUAAUAAUAAAUAGAGAACUCAGAGAUGAUGUCCAAAGACGUAUUUCAUCGUCACGUUUACAUAACCUUGCGUACCAAAUCACAAAAGUUUUUCAAAAUGAACGAGCAUCAACUUAUUUUAUUCCAUACAUUUCUUACGGACCGGGCUUAAAAAGAGCAGCCAAAGGAAAGCUUCUCGAUUGUUUGAAUAAUAAAAGAAGAGAAUACAGAAAAGCUGGUUUGAUAAGUUCAUCGCGACGAAGUUCAACAUCUUCUGAAUCAUCUUUUAAUUCUAUACCAUAACCGGAAGGCCUUGUACAAUUGACUGAAGAAGAAGGAAAUUAUAUAGAAUCUGUUGUGGAGGAAAAUCUCAAUUGGCUAAGAAACUCAAGUGAACCAUGGGAUUUAGUAGAAAUAAAAUGGAAUUUGACUUCCAGCUAUCGCUAAAAAGAAUGAUGUCACAAGAUGGUCCUUCAAUAGCAGAGUACAUGACUGAGUUUCCAUACUUGAAAAAACCUGCAGGAUAUCUCCUUAUGAGUGCAUGUCAUAUUAUUAAUAAUUUUUAACUUAUAUCUAAUUACUCAAUCAAUUUUUAAAAUUUUAUUAUUUAUUCUUCAGAUUUUGAAAGACUUUAACGUUGCUUAUCCAAAAUCAGUUGACAAACUUUAUCAGAACCUACCAAUAUACAGAAAGAAGAUUAUCGAUCUAACAUUGACUAGAACUAAGAAAACUAAAGAUUCCACUGUGCAUCAAAUUUUAAAUGAAUACCUACAAUACAACACUGUCGAUGAAGAAACAUCGAAUAUAGUUUGUUUUGUUUGGUCUUCCUCGUUGGAAAUUCAGUAGUUAGAGGAAAAAAGUCUACAAGUCAAUGGAAACCAUCAAAGUUAGAAGCUAGAGAUGGAUUUAUCACCAAAGUAUCAAGUGACGCAGAAGUCCAGAAAACCAUUGGAAGAAGGAGAGAAAAGUUUGACAAUAUAUUUCUUUCAGUGUACCUACUAUGAAUUUGUUCAA